GUGGUCACUUUGGCAGCAUAUAUACUCAAAUUGGAACAAUACAGAUAAGACUAGCAUGGCCUCUGUGCAAAGAUGACAUGCAAACUCAUGAAGCAUUCAUAUUUUUA
Molecule: small nuclear RNA, 107 nt
Filed under: Colobus angolensis palliatus
Lineage: Eukaryota; Metazoa; Chordata; Mammalia; Primates; Cercopithecidae
Source: RNAcentral